This 250-nucleotide ribosomal RNA is filed under the name uncultured Actinomycetales bacterium. RNAcentral describes it as "partial 16S ribosomal RNA". It matches the Rfam family "Bacterial small subunit ribosomal RNA", at positions 84 to 334 of the family's 1533-position model. Lineage: Bacteria; Bacillati; Actinomycetota; Actinomycetes; Actinomycetales. The record is from RNAcentral.
GGGGUGCUCGAGUGGCGAACGGGUGAGUAACACGUGAGUAACCUGCCCUUGACUUUGGGAUAACUUCAGGAAACUGGGGCUAAUACCGGAUAGGAGCUCCUGCUGCAUGGUGGGGGUUGGAAAGUUUCGGCGGUUGGGGAUGGACUCGCGGCUUAUCAGCUUGUUGGUGGGGUAGUGGCUUACCAAGGCUUUGACCGGGUAGCCGGCCUGAGAGGGUGACCGGCCACAUUGGGACUGAGAUACGGCCCAG